This 242-nucleotide unclassified non-coding RNA is filed under the name uncultured fungus. RNAcentral describes it as "sequence contains ITS1". The stretch from base 1 to 97 matches the Rfam family "5.8S ribosomal RNA", at positions 49 to 154 of the family's 154-position model. Lineage: Eukaryota; Fungi. The record is from RNAcentral.
UAGAAUGCGAUAUGCAAUGUGAAUUGCAGAACCACGAAUCAUCGGAUCUUUGAACGCAACUGGCGCUGGAAAAACCAGCAUACUUGUUUCAGUGUGCGCAAACAAAUAAACCAUAUAAAUGUGAGAGAAGUUCUCUCAUGAAAUAUAUGCUCCCUGCAGCAGUCACAUUUAUUUGUGAGCUGAAGGGCUGACUUAUGCCUUAUUUGCACCUGAAAUCAAGUAAGAAGACCCGCUGGACUUAA